CACGCGGCGCGUGAUCAAGUCAGAGAGCAAUCUUCUUUUUGAACAAGGCUUCACGCCGCGCGUGGUCAGGUAUCACGCGGCGCGUAAUCAGAGUGAAAAUCAAAGCUCCCUGUGAUCUCCAUCACGCGGCGCGUGAUGGGCUACGCCCCCAGCGUAGUGAAAAUCCUCCAUUUCCUGCAAUUUUUCCUGUUUUCUUGCAAAACAAGUAAUCAAGCUUAUGGUUAGAUUUCUCUUAUAUUUAUUGCUAAAAACCUACUAAAAUGCAUCUAAUGUUGCUAAAAUAGGCCUGGAUUAGAGAGUGUGACGAUUCGUCAUCAA
This 318-nucleotide long non-coding RNA is filed under the name Trifolium pratense (red clover). Its description in RNAcentral is "long non-coding RNA (TPRA_LNC000414)". The record is from RNAcentral. Lineage: Eukaryota; Viridiplantae; Streptophyta; Magnoliopsida; Fabales; Fabaceae.